This 389-nucleotide ribosomal RNA is filed under the name uncultured bacterium. Its description in RNAcentral is "bacterial SSU rRNA". It matches the Rfam family "Bacterial small subunit ribosomal RNA", at positions 28 to 417 of the family's 1533-position model. The record is from RNAcentral.
GACGAACGCCGGCGGCGUGCUUAACACAUGCAAGUCGAGCGGUAAGGCCCUUUCGGGGGUACACGAGCGGCGAACGGGUGAGUAACACGUGGGUGACCUGCCCUCAGCUCUGGGAUAAGCCUGGGAAACCGGGUCUAAUACUGGAUAUGACUCCAUGACGCAUGUUGUGGGGUGGAAAGCCUUGUGCGGCUGAGGAUGGGCCCGCGGCCUAUCAGCUUGUUGGUGGGGUGAUGGCCUACCAAGGCGACGACGGGUAGCCGGCCUGAGAGGGCGACCGGCCACACUGGGACUGAGACACGGCCCAGACUCCUACGGGAGGGCAGCAGUGGGGAAUCUUGCGCAAUGGGCGAAAGCCUGACGCAGCGACGCCGCGUGAGGGAUGACGGCCU